RNAcentral lists this ribosomal RNA (381 nucleotides) under uncultured bacterium. Its description in RNAcentral is "bacterial SSU rRNA". It matches the Rfam family "Bacterial small subunit ribosomal RNA", at positions 29 to 406 of the family's 1533-position model. The record is from RNAcentral.
AGUGAACGCUGGCGGCAGGCCUAACACAUGCAAGUCGAACGGCAGCACAGAGGAGCUUGCUCCUUGGGUGGCGAGUGGCGGACGGGUGAGGAAUACGUCGGAAUCUGCCUAUUUGUGGGGGAUAACGUAGGGAAACUUACGCUAAUACCGCAUACGACCUACGGGUGAAAGCGGAGGACCUUCGGGCUUCGCGCAGAUAGAUGAGCCGACGUCGGAUUAGCUAGUUGGCGGGGAAAGGCCCACCAAGGCGACGAUCCGUAGCUGGUCUGAGAGGAUGAUCAGCCACACUGGAACUGAGACACGGUCCAGACUCCUACGGGAGGCAGCAGUGGGAAUAUUGGACAAUGGGCGACAAGCCUGAUCCAGCCAUGCCGCGUGUGU